AGUGUAUUAGAAUAAGACCUAGGUUAACUGGAAUUCAAGUUCCUAGUGCUGGAUCCAAUUUAUCAGUUCUGCUUGGGGUAAGCAAUAAUAGCCACAAGCAGCAGGACAUGGCCCUGAACUUUAUUACAGGUCUCAGAGGGAACCUGAGACUUGGGGCGCUUUUUCAUUGUGCAUCUUGGAGAAAGAAGGAGAAGGCUGAGAGGAAGAAUCAUCAAAACCAUUAGAUGAAAGUGCGUGUGGCAGCAGAAAGUGAUGUGACACACUGAGCCCUGAAUUAAAGGAACUGUUCUAGAAUUAAAGGAGAUAAAAAAGGCCAGACAACUAAAUGUUUGAAGGCCUUCAAAAUUAAAAAAAAAAGAAAAGAAAAAAAGAGAAAAAAAGAAUCAAGGCCAAAAAUGUGACCUGCCAUAGUGUGGAAUAUACAUGUACAGUGUGUACCCCAGCUGUCUGUUAAGAAAUGCCUGAACUCAUAGUGAGAGCUGCCUUGCGAGGUGAUUACCGUUAUUCAACUUAAUUCACAGUGAAGAAACUAAAAGCUCAAAGAGCCUCCCACUGAGCUGAUCUGAGGAAGGAAUUUCCUUUGAAGUCCCUUGUCUCCAUGCUUUUUGAUAAACAACACAGAGG
Long non-coding RNA from Suricata suricatta (meerkat), 624 nucleotides. RefSeq lists it as uncharacterized. The transcript has 6 exons. The record is from RefSeq and is a predicted model, not a curated record. NCBI's taxonomy places the organism in Eukaryota, Metazoa, Chordata, Mammalia, Carnivora, Herpestidae.